RNAcentral lists this ribosomal RNA (270 nucleotides) under Streptomyces sp. C. RNAcentral's name for it is "partial 16S ribosomal RNA". It matches the Rfam family "Bacterial small subunit ribosomal RNA", at positions 1112 to 1382 of the family's 1533-position model. The record is from RNAcentral. Lineage: Bacteria; Bacillati; Actinomycetota; Actinomycetes; Kitasatosporales; Streptomycetaceae.
GCAUGCCCUUCGGGGUGAUGGGGACUCACAGGAGACCGCCGGGGUCAACUCGGAGGAAGGUGGGGACGACGUCAAGUCAUCAUGCCCCUUAUGUCUUGGGCUGCACACGUGCUACAAUGGCCGGUACAAAGAGCUGCGAUGCCGCGAGGCGGAGCGAAUCUCAAAAAGCCGGUCUCAGUUCGGAUUGGGGUCUGCAACUCGACCCCAUGAAGUCGGAGUUGCUAGUAAUCGCAGAUCAGCAUUGCUGCGGUGAAUACGUUCCCGGGCCUU